CAAACGGCUUUUUCCAGAGCCACCAAUUAAUAUCAAGAGAGUUAAUU
Aedes aegypti (yellow fever mosquito) is the source of this 47-nucleotide non-coding RNA. The record is from Rfam. NCBI's taxonomy places the organism in Eukaryota, Metazoa, Arthropoda, Insecta, Diptera, Culicidae.